GACGAACGUUGGCGGUGCGCUUUAUACAUGCAAGUCGUGCGCGAAAGGCCCCUUCGGGGGCCGAGUAGAGCGGCGGACGGGUGCGUAACACGUGAGCAACCUGCCCUGGAGUGGGGAAUAACUCCGAGAAAUCGGGGCUAAUACCGCAUGAUGUCGCAGCUCCGCAUGAAGCUGCGCUUAAAGUCGGCCUCUGCUUGCAAGCUGGCGCUCCAGGAUGGGCUCGCGGCCUAUUAGCUAGUUGGCGGGGUAAUGG
RNAcentral lists this ribosomal RNA (253 nucleotides) under uncultured bacterium. RNAcentral's name for it is "partial 16S ribosomal RNA". It matches the Rfam family "Bacterial small subunit ribosomal RNA", at positions 28 to 263 of the family's 1533-position model. The record is from RNAcentral.